Molecule: ribosomal RNA, 1259 nt
Filed under: metagenome
Description: bacterial LSU rRNA
Rfam family: Bacterial large subunit ribosomal RNA
Source: RNAcentral
AAAUGCUGGGGCAAGCGUGUAGGGCGAUGUGUAGGCAAAUCCGCACAUCAUAGGCCUGAGACGUUAAGCGGAGCCGUAUUAGGUGAAGUCAAUGAUCCCAUGCUGCCAAGAAAAGCCUCUAGCGAGCUUCGAGCGGCCCGUACCCCAAACCGACACAGGUGGUCAGGUAGAGAAUACCGAGGCGAUCGGGCGAACUGUGGUUAAGGAACUCGGCAAAUUACCCCCGUAACUUCGGGAGAAGGGGGGCCACAGACUGUCAUACCCCACGCGGGUGGCAGCAGUAGGUGGCCGCAGAGACCAGGGGGAAGCGACUGUUUACUAAAAACACAGGUCCGUGCGAAGUCGUAAGACGAUGUAUACGGACUGACGCCUGCCCGGUGCUGGAACGUUAAGGGGACCGGUUAGUCCGCAAGGGCGAAGCUGAGAACUUAAGCGCCAGUAAACGGCGGUGGUAACUAUAACCAUCCUAAGGUAGCGAAAUUCCUUGUCGGGUAAGUUCCGACCUGCACGAAUGGCGUAACGACUUCCCUACUGUCUCAACCACAGGCCCGGCGAAAUUGCACUACGAGUAAAGAUGCUCGUUACGCGCGGAAGGACGGAAAGACCCCGGGACCUUCACUAUAGCUUGACAUUGGUAUCCGAAUUUAAUUGUGUAGGAUAGGUGGGAGGCUUUGAUCCGCGGACGCCAGUCCGUCGGGGAGCCAACGUUGAAAUACCACUCUGUUGACUUUGGGUAUCUAACUUCGGACCGUGAUCCGGUUCAGGGACAGUGUCUGGUGGGUAGUUUAACUGGGGCGGUUGCCUCCUAAAAUGUAACGGAGGCGCCCAAAGGUUCCCUCAGCCUGGUUGGCAAUCAGGUGUUGAGUGCAAGUGCACAAGGGAGCUUGACUGUGAGACUGACAGGUCGAGCAGGGACGAAAGUCGGGACUAGUGAUCCGGCACCUGCGAGUGGAAGCGGUGUCGCUCAACGGAUAAAAGGUACCCCGGGGAUAACAGGCUGAUCUUCCCCAAGAGUCCAUAUCGACGGGAUGGUUUGGCACCUCGAUGUCGGCUCGUCGCAUCCUGGGGCUGGAGUAGGUCCCAAGGGUUGGGCUGUUCGCCCAUUAAAGCGGCACGCGAGCUGGGUUUAGAACGUCGUGAGACAGUUCGGUCCCUAUCCUCCGCGCGCGUAGGAGACUUGAGAAGAGCUGUCCCUAGUACGAGAGGACCGGGACGGACGAACCUCUGGUGUGCCAGUUGUCAUGCCAAUGGCACGGCUG